UGUGACCCAGGAUCACAGGGUCUGGCUUGGGGUGGAGGACACUCAAGCUCACUGCUGGGAAUGUCCCUUGACACUGAGGCUACAGAAAUAGGAGGAUCAUAGAGACUGGGCAGAGGAUGGAGAGGAUAGUGAGAUCCUGAACCAACAACCAGCUUCCUGGCCACUACUGGUUAUAAACUCCGUCCAGAUCCAGAGGAAUGAAACAUCUGCCUGACCAAGCUGGCCACUACUGGUUAUAAACUCCGCCCAGAUCCAGAGCAAUGAAACAUCUGCCUGACCAAGCUGGCCACUACUGGUUAUAAACUCCGCCCAGAUCCAGAGGAAUGAAACAUCUACCUGACCAAACUGUGCAGGUUGCUUCUGUGACCAGUGGCCACCUUGACCGCGACCCAGACCAGCACAGGUCACAGAUGGAGUAGAUGUUGGAGUGGACCGGGACUUGAAGCACUGGAUCCGGGCCCUGAUGACAGCCAAGUUGGUCAGCCUGCAAGUGGAGCGUCUUCCUCUAUUUCUCUUUUAAUUUGUCCAAGAGAUGGUGGUUUCCUUUACAGA
Molecule: long non-coding RNA, 552 nt
Organism: Mastomys coucha (southern multimammate mouse)
Lineage: Eukaryota; Metazoa; Chordata; Mammalia; Rodentia; Muridae
Exons: 3
Source: RefSeq, a predicted model, not a curated record